UACGAAGGGGGCUAGCGUUGCUCGGAAUGACUGGGCGUAAAGGGCGCGUAGGCGGCUGGCUCAGUCAGAUGUGAAAUUCCCGGGCUUAACCUGGGGGCUGCAUUUGAUACGUGUGAUCUGGAGUGAGGAAGAGGGUCGUGGAAUUCCCAGUGUAGAGGUGAAAUUCGUAGAUAUUGGGAAGAACGCCGGUGGCGAAGGCGGCGACCUGGUCCUUGACUGACGCUGAGGCGCGAAAGCGUGGGGAGCAAACAGG
Molecule: ribosomal RNA, 253 nt
Filed under: uncultured bacterium
Lineage: Bacteria
Description: partial 16S ribosomal RNA
Rfam family: Bacterial small subunit ribosomal RNA
Source: RNAcentral